UUACAACUAAGCUCAUAUCCAAAGGUUCUAGAUAUAUCUAAUUUUAAAUUUGCAAAUCUCGGAAUCGCAAUCGAGUCCGAGAUUAACGAACGCGGAAAACAUCGGACGGUAUCGAUAGAAUCUCGGUUUGUGAGUUGUCCAAAUCUUGUUAUAGGCUUUCCAAAUAUCCUCAAGUAGGAUUCGUUCAAUGCGAUAUUUUUUUUAUCGUUCAAUGUGGGGGCCAUGUGAUUGUGAACGAGCUGAUAGUCGAUACUCCUCGAUGUCUUCACGAUAGGUAAUUUUUUUAUAUGUUGUAAUUUGUGUUUAUCCUUUUUAAUACAAUUGGAUGCGACUCGUGAUAGCUAACUAAUUUUCUACGUAGUCAAU
RNAcentral lists this long non-coding RNA (366 nucleotides) under Brassica rapa (field mustard). Its description in RNAcentral is "long non-coding RNA (BRAP_LNC002373)". Lineage: Eukaryota; Viridiplantae; Streptophyta; Magnoliopsida; Brassicales; Brassicaceae. The record is from RNAcentral.